This 516-nucleotide ribosomal RNA is filed under the name uncultured bacterium. RNAcentral describes it as "partial 16S ribosomal RNA". It matches the Rfam family "Bacterial small subunit ribosomal RNA", at positions 29 to 523 of the family's 1533-position model. The record is from RNAcentral.
AACGAACGCUGGCGGCGUGCCUAACACAUGCAAGUCGAGCGCGAAAGCCUUCGGGUGAGUAGAGCGGCGCACGGGUGAGUAACACGUAGGUAAUCUCCCUUCAGGACUGGAAUAACCCAGGGAAACUUGGGCUAAUACCGGAUAAGACCACAGAUCGUUGGUGAUGUGGGAAAAGCAGAGGACCCCUUCGGGGGCUUUGUACCAGAAGAUGAGCCUGCGGCCCAGCAGCUAGUUGGCGGGGGUAAUGGCCCACCAAGGCUUAGACGGGUAGCUGGUCUGAGAGGAUGAUCAGCCACACUGGAACUGACACACGGUCCAGACUCCUACGGGAGGCAGCAGUGGGGAACUUUGCGCAAUGGGCGAAAGCCUGACGCAGCAACGCCGCGUGAGUGAUGAAGGUCUUCGGAUCGUAAAGCUCUGUCGGAGGGAACGACGGGAGAACUGGCCAAUAUCCAGGGCUCUUGACGGUACUCUCAAAGGAAGCACCGGCUAACUCUGUGCCAGCAGCCGCGGUAA